UACGAAGGGGGCCAGCGUUGCUCGGAAUCACUGGGCGUAAAGCGCACGUAGGCGGCUUCUUAAGUCAGGGGUGAAAUCCUGGAGCUCAACUCCAGAACUGCCUUUGAUACUGAGGAGCUCGAGUCCGGAAGAGGUGAGUGGAACUGCGAGUGUAGAGGUGAAAUUCGUAGAUAUUCGCAAGAACACCAGUGGCGAAGGCGGCUCACUGGUCCGGUACUGACGCUGAGGUGCGAAAGCGUGGGGAGCGAACAGG
This 253-nucleotide ribosomal RNA is filed under the name uncultured bacterium. RNAcentral's name for it is "partial 16S ribosomal RNA". It matches the Rfam family "Bacterial small subunit ribosomal RNA", at positions 524 to 776 of the family's 1533-position model. The record is from RNAcentral.